Molecule: ribosomal RNA, 958 nt
Filed under: Franzmannia pantelleriensis
Lineage: Bacteria; Pseudomonadati; Pseudomonadota; Gammaproteobacteria; Oceanospirillales; Halomonadaceae
Description: bacterial SSU rRNA
Rfam family: Bacterial small subunit ribosomal RNA
Source: RNAcentral
UGCAGUCGAGCGGCAGCACGGGAAGCUUGCUUCCUGGUGGCGAGCGGCGGACGGGUGAGUAAUGCAUAGGAAUCUGCCCGAUAGUGGGGGAUAACCUGGGGAAACCCAGGCUAAUACCGCAUACGUCCUACGGGAGAAAGCAGGGGCUCUUCGGACCUUGCGCUAUCGGAUGAGCCUAUGUCGGAUUAGCUAGUUGGUGAGGUAAUGGCUCACCAAGGCGACGAUCCGUAGCUGGUCUGAGAGGAUGAUCAGCCACAUCGGGACUGAGACACGGCCCGAACUCCUACGGGAGGCAGCAGUGGGGAAUAUUGGACAAUGGGCGCAAGCCUGAUCCAGCCAUGCCGCGUGUGUGAAGAAGGCCUUCGGGUUGUAAAGCACUUUCAGUGAGGAAGAACGCCUUGUGCCUAAUACGUGCAAGGGAAGACAUCACUCACAGAAGAAGCACCGGCUAACUCCGUGCCAGCAGCCGCGGUAAUACGGAGGGUGCGAGCGUUAAUCGGAAUUACUGGGCGUAAAGCGCGCGUAGGUGGCUUGAUAAGCCGGUUGUGAAAGCCCCGGGCUCAACCUGGGAACGGCAUCCGGAACUGUCAGGCUAGAGUGCAGGAGAGGAAGGUAGAAUUCCCGGUGUAGCGGUGAAAUGCGUAGAGAUCGGGAGGAAUACCAGUGGCGAAGGCGGCCUUCUGGACUGACACUGACACUGAGGUGCGAAAGCGUGGGUAGCAAACAGGAUUAGAUACCCUGGUAGUCCACGCCGUAAACGAUGUCGACUAGCCGUUGGGAGCCUCGAGUUCUUAGUGGCGCAGUUAACGCGAUAAGUCGACCGCCUGGGGAGUACGGCCGCAAGGUUAAAACUCAAAUGAAUUGACGGGGGCCCGCACAAGCGGUGGAGCAUGUGGUUUAAUUCGAUGCAACGCGAAGAACCUUACCUACCCUUGACAUCGUGCGAACUUUCCAGAGA